GUGGGUAGUUUGACUGGGGCGGUCUCCUCCUAAAGAGUAACGGAGGAGCACGAAGGUUGGCUAAUCCUGGUCGGACAUCAGGAGGUUAGUGCAAUGGCAUAAGCCAGCUUGACUGCGAGCGUGACGGCGCGAGCAGGUGCGAAAGCAGGUCAUAGUGAUCCGGUGGUUCUGAAUGGAAGGGCCAUCGCUCAACGGAUAAAAGGUACUCCGGGGAUAACAGGCUGAUACCGCCCAAGAGUUCAUAUCGACGGCGGUGUUUGGCACCUCGAUGUCGGCUCAUCACAUCCUGGGGCUGAAGUAGGUCCCAAGGGUAUGGCUGUUCGCCAUUUAAAGUGGUACGCGAGCUGGGUUUAGAACGUCGUGAGACAGUUCGGUCCCUAUCUGCCGUGGGCGCUGGAGAACUGAGGGGGGCUGCUCCUAGUACGAGAGGACCGGAGUGGACGCAUCACUGGUGUUCGGGUUGUCAUGCCAAUGGCACUGCCCGGUAGCUAAAUGCGGAAGAGAUAAGUGCUGAAAGC
Molecule: ribosomal RNA, 518 nt
Filed under: Escherichia coli
Lineage: Bacteria; Pseudomonadati; Pseudomonadota; Gammaproteobacteria; Enterobacterales; Enterobacteriaceae
Also listed under: 13 other names
Description: partial 23S ribosomal RNA
Rfam family: Bacterial large subunit ribosomal RNA
Source: RNAcentral